UACGAAGGGGGCUAGCGUUACUCGGAAUGACUGGGCGUAAAGGGCGCGUAGGCGGCCUCGUCCGUCCGGCGUGAAAUGCCUGGGCUCAACCUAGGAAUGCGCUCGAUACAGCGAGGCUAGAGUGUGGGAGAGGUUGGUGGAAUUCCCAGUGUAGAGGUGAAAUUCGUAGAUAUUGGGAAGAACACCGGUGGCGAAGGCGGCCAACUGGACCACAACUGACGCUGAGGCGCGAAAGCGUGGGGAGCAAACAGG
RNAcentral lists this ribosomal RNA (252 nucleotides) under uncultured bacterium. Its description in RNAcentral is "partial 16S ribosomal RNA". It matches the Rfam family "Bacterial small subunit ribosomal RNA", at positions 524 to 776 of the family's 1533-position model. The record is from RNAcentral.